UGGGGAAUAUUGGACAAUGGGCGAAAGCCUGAUCCAGCAACGCCGCGUGAGGGAUGACGGCCUUCGGGUUGUAAACCUCUUUCGGUAGGGACGAAGCGCAAGUGACGGUACCUACUAAAGAAGCACCGGCCAACUACGUGC
Molecule: ribosomal RNA, 141 nt
Filed under: uncultured bacterium
Lineage: Bacteria
Description: partial 16S ribosomal RNA
Rfam family: Bacterial small subunit ribosomal RNA
Source: RNAcentral